Long non-coding RNA from Herpailurus yagouaroundi (jaguarundi), 645 nucleotides. RefSeq lists it as uncharacterized. NCBI's taxonomy places the organism in Eukaryota, Metazoa, Chordata, Mammalia, Carnivora, Felidae. The transcript has 4 exons. The record is from RefSeq and is a predicted model, not a curated record.
UGUGUGAAAGGGCACAGGAACUAUGGCACUCACAGUGUGUGCCAGCGUGGGCCCGAAGCAAUGCUUCUGAGCUGGCCAGGAGCCGAGAUAAAAGACAGCAGAUGAGAAAAUGAGAGCUACACUGUUCUAAAAUCUCUUCUACCCCCUGAGCCUGCAGAGCAAGCCGCUUGGAAUGCUUCAGAUUCUAUUUUUAGGCUUCCGUGGUUGCUCAGAAUCUGGGCAAGGGGCUGAUUCUCCUGAGGAAAGCCAUCAGAACAGGACACCGGAGCUCACAUCCCAAAAGGCUAGUACAACAGACACCUUUCUGGGAGACUGAUGUUUCUGUAACUUUCAUCAGACUUAGAAGAGACGGGGGCGCUUGGGUUCUCUGGCUUUGCUAGUGCCAAAUGCCAGAUCCAUGCUUCUACUUGGGGCCACUGUCUGCUGUCAUGACCUUUACACUCCGACCUCAUCCAGCAGUUCCCUGUCCAAAACAUUUUGGUGACUCGGCUGAACACACCAUGUGCUAAGAUGCAAGCUUUCAAAAUCUUGUGCCCAGGAAAAGGAAAACAUUACAUGGAAUAGAUGACCUUGACCAGAAAUGAUUACUAAAAUCUCUGAAAUUUAAUUUUUUAAAUACAAAUAAAGUUUUAUUAUCCCAAGUCA